AACAAACGCUGGCGGCAGGCCUAACACAUGCAAGUCGAACGCCGUAGCAAUACGGAGUGGCAGACGGGUGAGUAACACGUGGGAACAUACCCUUCGGUUCGGAAUAACUCAGGGAAACUUGAGCUAAUACCGGAUACGUCCGCGAGGAGAAAGAUUCAUCGCCGGAGGAUUGGCCCGCGUCUGAUUAGCUUGUUGGUGAGGUAAUGGCUCACCAAGGCGACGAUCAGUAGCUGGUCUGAGAGGAUGAUCAGCCACAUUGGGACUGAGACACGGCCCAAACUCCUACGGGAGGCAGCAGGUGGGGAAUAUUGGACAAUGGGCGCAAGCCUGAUCCAGCCAUGCCGCGUGAGUGAUGAAGG
This 359-nucleotide ribosomal RNA is filed under the name uncultured bacterium. RNAcentral's name for it is "bacterial SSU rRNA". It matches the Rfam family "Bacterial small subunit ribosomal RNA", at positions 29 to 414 of the family's 1533-position model. The record is from RNAcentral.